ACGCUCGACACCUACGGGGGGCAGCAGUGGGGAAUAUUGCACAAUGGGGGAAACCCGUGAUGCAGCGACGCCGCGUGGAGGAAGAAGGUCUUCGGAUUGUAAACUCCUGUUGUUGGGGAAAAGAGGAUGGUACCCAACAAGGAAGUGACGGCUAACUACGUGCCUGCAGCCGCGGUAAUCUGAGCGGGCUGGCAAGGC
RNAcentral lists this ribosomal RNA (198 nucleotides) under uncultured bacterium. RNAcentral's name for it is "partial 16S ribosomal RNA". It matches the Rfam family "Bacterial small subunit ribosomal RNA", at positions 328 to 539 of the family's 1533-position model. The record is from RNAcentral.